This 568-nucleotide ribosomal RNA is filed under the name uncultured bacterium. RNAcentral's name for it is "bacterial SSU rRNA". It matches the Rfam family "Bacterial small subunit ribosomal RNA", at positions 338 to 916 of the family's 1533-position model. The record is from RNAcentral.
CCUACGGGAGGCAGCAGUGGGGAAUAUUGCGCAAUGGACGAAAGUCUGACGCAGCAACGCCGCGUGAGGGAUGACGGCCUUCGGGUUGUAAACCUCUUUCAGCAGGGACGAAGCGAGAGUGACGGUACCUGCAGAAGAAGGACCGGCCAACUACGUGCCAGCAGCCGCGGUAAUACGUAGGGUCCGAGCGUUGUCCGGAAUUAUUGGGCGUAAAGGGCUCGUAGGCGGUUCGUCACGUCGGGAGUGAAAACUCGGAGCUCAACUCCGAGCCUGCUUCCGAUACGGGCAGACUAGAGGUAGGCAGGGGAGAGCGGAACUCCUGGUGUAGCGGUGGAAUGCGCAGAUAUCAGGAAGAACACCGGUGGCGAAGGCGGCUCUCUGGGCCUUACCUGACGCUGAGGAGCGAAAGCGUGGGUAGCGAACAGGAUUAGAUACCCUGGUAGUCCACGCCGUAAACGUUGGGCGCUAGGUGUGGGGGACAUUCCACGUCCUCCGUGCCGCAGCUAACGCAUUAAGCGCCCCGCCUGGGGAGUACGGCCGCAAGGCUAAAACUCAAAUGAAUUGACGG